This 318-nucleotide ribosomal RNA is filed under the name Kondoa subrosea. RNAcentral's name for it is "partial large subunit ribosomal RNA". It matches the Rfam family "Eukaryotic large subunit ribosomal RNA", at positions 177 to 486 of the family's 3401-position model. The record is from RNAcentral. Lineage: Eukaryota; Fungi; Basidiomycota; Agaricostilbomycetes; Agaricostilbales; Kondoaceae.
UUAUAGAUUUCGGUUGGAAUGCCAAGUCAAAGAGGGUGAGAAUCCCGUAUUUGAUAAGGUGGUCUUGUGCAUUGUGUUGUGCUUUCAAAGAGUCGAGUUGUUUGGGAAUGCAGCUCAAAGUGGGUGGUAAAUUCCAUCUAAAGCUAAAUAUUGGCGAGAGACCGAUAGCGAACAAGUACCGUGAGGGAAAGAUGAAAAGCACUUUGGAAAGAGAAUGAAAUAGUACAUGAAAUUGCUGAAAGGGAAACGAUUGAAGUUAGACAUGCGCUUUGGGUAUUCAGCCUUGGCUUCGGUCUUGGUGCAUUUGCCCAAUUUUGC